AUUGAACGCUGGCGGCAUGCCUUACACAUGCAAGUCGAACGGUAACAGGUCUUCGGAUGCUGACGAGUGGCGAACGGGUGAGUAAUACAUCGGAACGUGCCUAGUAGUGGGGGAUAACUACUCGAAAGAGUGGUUAAUACCGCAUGAGAUCUACGGAUGAAAGCAGGGGAUCGCAAGACCUUGUGCUACUAGAGCGGCCGAUGGCAAAUUAGGUAGUUGGUGGGAUAAAAGCUUACCAAGCCGACGAUCUGUAGCUGGUCUGAGAGGACGAUCAGCCACACUGGGACUGAGACACGGCCCAGACUCCUACGGGAGGCAGCAGUGGGGAAUUUUGGACAAUGGGCGCAAGCCUGAUCCAGCAAUGCCGCGUGCAGGAUGAAGGCCUUCGGGUUGUAAACUGCUUUUGUACGGAACGAAAAGCCCCGGGUUAAUACCCUGGGGUCAUGACGGUACCGUAAGAAUAAGCACCGGCUAACUACGUGCCAGCAGCCGCCGUAA
RNAcentral lists this ribosomal RNA (498 nucleotides) under uncultured bacterium. RNAcentral describes it as "partial 16S ribosomal RNA". It matches the Rfam family "Bacterial small subunit ribosomal RNA", at positions 30 to 523 of the family's 1533-position model. The record is from RNAcentral.